This is a long non-coding RNA of Phragmites australis (common reed), 1565 nucleotides long. RefSeq lists it as uncharacterized. The record is from RefSeq and is a predicted model, not a curated record. Lineage: Eukaryota; Viridiplantae; Streptophyta; Magnoliopsida; Poales; Poaceae. The transcript has 4 exons.
CCAUGUAGAGUGGAGAAGGGAGCUGGAUGGAGCGUGCCUUCCUCCUCCGACGUGGAGUGCGAGGUACCUCAAUGGGUUGUUGUCGCAGCAAAUGGCGGAGUUCAGGCUCCACCUCUAGGUGCUCGUCGGCGCCGCCAUCGUGCUCCUGCUCCUCCUCAUCUUCGUCUGCCUCUCCCGUGGCCACCGCCGGCGUGAAGACUUGAUCGCGGCCAACCUCUGCAUGGUCGCCGACGGCAGCCUCGUGCAGAUGCCGGAGCACGGAGCUGGCCUGACCAUGGCGACCAUGGGGCGGCCGAGCAUCAAUGGCUGGACUCUGGAGCAGCAACCAGGCGGGAGACGAACUGCAAUGUCAGAAGCUCCCGGAUCCGAACAACAGACAUGCCAAUGGAAAAUCUUGAUACAGGCGAUGGGGAUCGAACAACAGUUGUGCACAUCAUGAUUCAAAGUUGGAUUCUUGCAUCAACCUGAGGCUUUUGAAAAUUGAUCACUCAGUCUCCUGCCUUGGUUCAUGUUAUUGGUAUAUUCAGUCAUGAGUCUCUUAGGCUAGGAACCAAAAUGGUGUCUUUGAUGUGUCAGGGAGUUCAAGGAGGGCAAUCACGUCCAGCUCACAUAGCUUUUUCAGAAGUAUAGCAACAAAAGCUACAGAUGGAGCGUUAGUUGAUUGCUUUGUUUGUAUUAUUUCCUUGAAUUAUCUUCUUAUUUCUCUCCUGCUUUUAUAAUCGCUACGGCUCUGACUCUGAAAUUUUAUAACCCUGUAUGUUUUUUUGUAAGGCAUCUGACUCUGAAAUUAUUACAACAAUCCUAUGUUUGUUUGUAAGGCAUUACUAGCUUUAAGUCAGAUGUGCAGUUCUGCUUCAAGUGGAGAGAAAAGGAUACCAUAGUUUUGGUGUUUUGGUCUUGGAAUUCAUCGAAUGAAAUACCAAACCUCAAAUAUAAAUUCUCAGCCGGGAGGAAUAGGCAAUUUGAAUCUAUGGUUGACGGGAAUCAUGAUGGCGAUUCCUUAACGAAGCAAGAAGAGAUUGAGAACAAUACAACAUUUGUGGGAAAUGUCAUUAGCUGUCAUGAAUUGCUGGUAGGGAUGUGGUAGCAUGUGAAGCUGCUUAUUCAGAACCAGGAUGAAAUGACCAAGGCUUGUAGGCUGCCAGAGCCAUACAAGGGUACUGGUGACUGAUUUAAACGCACCAUCAAGGAUGAGGGUUUCACCUCCUUGUGGAGGAGGAACACUGCUAAUGCUAUUCACUAUAUCUCUACUCAGCUGGUUACAGUACGCCGAUGUACGCGCUCUCGGCUUCUGGGGCCAUCGAGUGCUGUGAAGAAGGAUGAUGUCAUUGAAGUCAAUUGUGGGAGACAUCCUUACAUGUCUUCCUUCCAGUGGGGAUCAUUCUAACGGGUUCUCUCUUGCUAGAAGGGAUGUGUACAAUUUCACUUAUCAAGUUCCAUUCUUGUUUCAAAUCUGUAUAUAUGGUUGACACUAAAAAUUCUUUUAUUUUGAUCUGUAUCCUUCGUUAUCUUGAACUAUGUUGUCGAAGAUUAGUGCCUGAUAAUAUAUCUGUAAUUAAACAGGA